UGGGAAUUUGGACAAUGGGCGAAAGCCUGAUCCAGCAAUGCCGCGUGUGUGAAGAAGGCCUUCGGGUUGUAAAGCACUUUUGUCCGGAAAGAAAUCCUUGGCUCUAAUACAGUCGGGGGAUGACGGUACCGGAAGAAUAAGCACCGGCUAACUACGUGCCAGCAGCCGCGGUAAUACGUAGGGUGCAAGCGUUAAUCGGAAUUACUGGGCGUAAAGCGUGCGCAGGCGGUUUGCUAAGACCGAUGUGAAAUCCCCGGGCUCAACCUGGGAACUGCAUUGGUGACUGGCAGGCUAGAGUAUGGCAGAGGGGGGUAGAAUUCCACGUGUAGCAGUGAAAUGCGUAGAGAUGUGGAGGAAUACCGAUGGCGAAGGCAGCCCCCUGGGCAAUACUGACGCUCAUGCACGAAAGCGUGGGGAGCAAACAGGAUUAGAUACCCUGGUAGUCCACGCCCU
Molecule: ribosomal RNA, 453 nt
Filed under: uncultured bacterium
Lineage: Bacteria
Description: partial 16S ribosomal RNA
Rfam family: Bacterial small subunit ribosomal RNA
Source: RNAcentral